ACGGAAGGCAGCAGUGGGGAAUAUUGCACAAUGGGGGAAACCCUGAUGCAGCGAUGCCGCGUGGAGGAAGAAGGUUUUCGGAUUGUAAACUCCUGUCUUAAAGGACGAUAAUGACGGUACUUUGGGAGGAAGCUCCGGCUAACUACGUGCCAGCAGCCGCGGUAAUACGUAGGGAGCGAGCGUUGUCCGGAAUUACUGGGUGUAAAGGGAGCGUAGGCGGGACUGCAAGUCAGAUGUGAAAUGCCGGGGCUUAACCCCGGAGCUGCAUUUGAAACUGUGGUUCUUGAGUGAAGUAGAGGCAAGCGGAAUUCCUGGUGUAGCGGUGAAAUGCGUAGAUAUCAGGAGGAACACCGGUGGCGAAGGCGGCUUGCUGGGCUUUUACUGACGCUGAGGCUCGAAAGCGUGGGUAGCAAACAGGAUUAGAUACCCUGGUA
Molecule: ribosomal RNA, 434 nt
Filed under: uncultured Ruminococcus sp.
Lineage: Bacteria; Bacillati; Bacillota; Clostridia; Eubacteriales; Oscillospiraceae
Description: bacterial SSU rRNA
Rfam family: Bacterial small subunit ribosomal RNA
Source: RNAcentral